This 496-nucleotide ribosomal RNA is filed under the name uncultured bacterium. Its description in RNAcentral is "partial 16S ribosomal RNA". It matches the Rfam family "Bacterial small subunit ribosomal RNA", at positions 28 to 506 of the family's 1533-position model. The record is from RNAcentral.
GAUGAACGCUGGCGGCGUGCCUAAUACAUGCAAGUCGAGCGAACAGACGAGGAGCUUGCUCCUCUGACGUUAGCGGCGGACGGGUGAGUAACACGUGGAUAACCUACCUAUAAGACUGGGAUAACUUCGGGAAACCGGAGCUAAUACCGGAUAAUAUAUUGAACCGCAUGGUUCAAUAGUGAAAGACGGUUUUGCUGUCACUUAUAGAUGGAUCCGCGCCGCAUUAGCAAGUUGGUAAGGUAACGGCUUACCAAGGCAACGAUGCGUAGCCGACCUGAGAGGGGGAUCGGCCACACGGGAACUGAGACACGGUCCAGACCCCUACGGGGGGCAGCAGUAGGGAAUCUUCCGCAAUGGGCGAAAGCCUGACGGAGCAACGCCGCGGGAGUGAAGAAGGUCUUCGGAUCGUAAAACUCUGUUAUUAGGGAAAAACAAAUGUGUAAGUAACGAUGCACGUUUUGACGGUACCUAAUCAGAAAGCCACGGCUAACUACGU